AUUUCUGCUCAAUGAUGUGUUAAAUAGCCGCAGUACUCUGACUGUGCAAAGGUAGCAUAAUCAGUUGGCUCCUAAAUAGAGUCUGGAAUGAACGAAUAUAUGAAGAACAGCUGUCUUAAAGGUAUUUAAAUAAAAUUGGUUGUAGGUGAAAAUCCCUACAUACCUAUAAAAGACGAGAAGACCCUAGAAACUUAUAUAAUUGUUUUGUUGGGGCGACAAAUUUACAUAAAAACUAAUUUUUAAUUAACAUGGCGAUUUCAGAUAGAUAAAGUUACUCUAGGGAUAACAGCAUAAUAUUUUUUGUUUGUGACCUCGAUGUUGGACUAGGUAAAGUAUUCUUAGAAGAGAAUAUAUAUGCUCUGUUCGAGCAGAAGAACCU
This 379-nucleotide ribosomal RNA is filed under the name Hemicycla sp. MN-2010. RNAcentral describes it as "partial 16S ribosomal RNA". It matches the Rfam family "Bacterial large subunit ribosomal RNA", at positions 1855 to 2596 of the family's 2925-position model. Lineage: Eukaryota; Metazoa; Mollusca; Gastropoda; Stylommatophora; Helicidae. The record is from RNAcentral.